GACUCUGGGCCCCACCUCCAUGCCACACUUCUGCUCCCAGGAUAGCAACAAACCCAGCUGGGAUCUGUGUUAUUCGUGCUUCCUGAUGCUGAUUUUGAAGCCUCAGAAAGGAUGGAGUUGCCAGACGUCAGGAAGGAGAAGGGUCAGAGAUUUGAAGAAAGUGAAGAAUCAGAAAGCAUCUUUUUAGGGAAAUUCAGGAGUGCUGAAGGCCUGAGAGAUAACAGGACCAGACUAUUGGGUUAGUGACCUUUCUCCAGCUGUACUCAGCAGCCCCAGGAGAGUGAUGGGGAAGACAGAUAAUUACAUUCAGCAAGAGUUGAGGUUCUUCCAGGUGGACAUGUCUCCUUUUCUCUCUGCCACAUCAUAUUGUCUUCCAGGCAUCAGUUCAGCUCAAUAUUGAGAAUGUCUACCAUGUAGGAGGCACUCCUAAGUUCUUGUAAAAAUAGAAAAA
RNAcentral lists this long non-coding RNA (451 nucleotides) under Capra hircus (goat). Its description in RNAcentral is "lncRNA (ENSCHIG00000002788.1)". The record is from RNAcentral. Lineage: Eukaryota; Metazoa; Chordata; Mammalia; Artiodactyla; Bovidae.